UACGUAGGGGGCUAGCGUUGUCCGGAAUCAUUGGGCGUAAAGCGCGCGUAGGCGGCCCGGUAAGUCCGCUGUAAAAGUCAAAGGCUCAACCUUUGAAUGUCAGUGGAUACUGCCGGGCUAGAGUCCGGAAGAGGCUAGUGGAACUCCUGGUGUAGCGGUGGAAUGCGCAGAUAUCAGGAAGAACACCGACGGCGAAGGCAGCUCGCUGGGACGGUACUGACGCUGAGGCGCGAAAGCGUGGGGAGCGAACAGG
This 253-nucleotide ribosomal RNA is filed under the name uncultured bacterium. RNAcentral describes it as "partial 16S ribosomal RNA". It matches the Rfam family "Bacterial small subunit ribosomal RNA", at positions 524 to 776 of the family's 1533-position model. The record is from RNAcentral.